This 165-nucleotide non-coding RNA is filed under the name Ditylum brightwellii. The record is from RNAcentral. Lineage: Eukaryota; Bacillariophyta; Thalassiosirophyceae; Lithodesmiales; Lithodesmiaceae.
GUUGAGGAAAGAACGCUUCGCACCGGGCUCUACUAAACGAGAGAAAGCGGCAAGAUGGACCGCCAAAGACGUAAGUCUAACGGUUUGACAAUAUCAGGAAUAAGAGCGCAUCAGAUGACAAUGUCAGGAACAAGAGCGCAUCAGAUGCUGCAAGCGCAAAGAAAG